AUCUUCUUUGGAAAAAUGUCUGUUCAGUACAGAGAAGAUUAGCAUGCCCCUGUGCAAGGAUGACAUGCAAAUUUGUGAAGCGUUCCUUAUUAUU
This 94-nucleotide small nuclear RNA is filed under the name Ursus maritimus (polar bear). The record is from RNAcentral. Lineage: Eukaryota; Metazoa; Chordata; Mammalia; Carnivora; Ursidae.